UGCAUCUGAAGCCUGACGAGGAUGAGAACCUCCGGGGGCAGGAGGUUCGACCCGAGCGCAGCGAGAGAACGUUGCGUCAGCAACGGCCCGCAGGGCGAGCCACGCAGUGGCGAGUCAUCCUCUAUCACCGACCA
This 134-nucleotide small RNA is filed under the name Salmonella enterica. RNAcentral's name for it is "RtT sRNA". It matches the Rfam family "RtT RNA". Rfam says of the family: This family represents a bacterial cis-regulatory element known as RtT RNA. Lineage: Bacteria; Pseudomonadati; Pseudomonadota; Gammaproteobacteria; Enterobacterales; Enterobacteriaceae. RNAcentral also lists the same sequence under 2 other names. The record is from RNAcentral.